AUGCUAAUACCGCAUACGCCCUACGGGGGAAAGCAGGGGAUCACUUGUGACCUUGCGUUAAUAGAUGAGCCUAAGUCGGAUUAGCUAGUUGGUGGGGUAAAGGCCUACCAAGGCGACGAUCUGUAGCGGGUCUGAGAGGAUGAUCCGCCACACUGGGACUGAGACACGGCCCAGACUCCUACGGGAGGCAGCAGUGGGGAAUAUUGGACAAUGGGGGGAACCCUGAUCCAGCCAUGCCGCGUGUGUGAAGAAGGCCUUAUGGUUGUAAAGCACUUUAAGCGAGGAGGAGGCUCUCUUGGUUAAUACCCAAGAUGAGUGGACGUUACUCGCAGAAUAAGCACCGGCUAACUCUGUGCCAGCAGCCGCGGUAAUACAGAGGGUGCGAGCGUUAAUCGGAUUUACUGGGCGUAAAGCGUGCGUAGGCGGCUUUUUAAGUCGGAUGUGAAAUCCCCGAGCUUAACUUGGGAAUUGCAUUCGAUACUGGGAAGCUAGAGUAUGGGAGAGGAUGGUAGAAUUCCAGGUGUAGCGGUGAAAUGCGUAGAGAUCUGGAGGAAUACCGAUGGCGAAGGCAGCCAUCUGGCCUAAUACUGAC
This 592-nucleotide ribosomal RNA is filed under the name Acinetobacter guillouiae. RNAcentral's name for it is "bacterial SSU rRNA". It matches the Rfam family "Bacterial small subunit ribosomal RNA", at positions 160 to 744 of the family's 1533-position model. Lineage: Bacteria; Pseudomonadati; Pseudomonadota; Gammaproteobacteria; Moraxellales; Moraxellaceae. The record is from RNAcentral.